This is a long non-coding RNA of Esox lucius (northern pike), 343 nucleotides long. RefSeq lists it as uncharacterized. The record is from RefSeq and is a predicted model, not a curated record. The transcript is spliced from 4 exons. Lineage: Eukaryota; Metazoa; Chordata; Actinopteri; Esociformes; Esocidae.
GGGAAACAGACAUCAGUUCUGACUGCAUCUGUAGGAAUCACAGUGGUUGUACUGGUUCUCAUCCUCUGUCUCUCUGGAUUCAUCUAGUUCAGAGGGAAGAAAGACUCCAAAUCCACCUCCUCUGACAACAGAAACAUCAGAGACACAGAAGACAAUGGACAGAGUGUCCGUCCUGAACCUGACAGUGACACGUACACAGUUCUGAAUAUGAGGAACAGGUCCCCUGAAUACGACACUCUAGAAAGUGUCCAUCCUGAUACUAACAGUGACAUGUACUCAUCUCUGAACAUGAAGACCAGGUCACCUGACUAUGAUACUCUGGUAGUAAGUAUUGUCACUGGCU